RNAcentral lists this ribosomal RNA (448 nucleotides) under Shouchella clausii. RNAcentral's name for it is "bacterial SSU rRNA". It matches the Rfam family "Bacterial small subunit ribosomal RNA", at positions 434 to 873 of the family's 1533-position model. Lineage: Bacteria; Bacillati; Bacillota; Bacilli; Caryophanales; Bacillaceae. The record is from RNAcentral.
GUUGUGAGGGAAGAAGCGGUACCGUUCGAAUAGGGCGGUACCUUGACGGUACCUCACCAGAAAGCCACGGCUAACUACGUGCCAGCAGCCGCGGUAAUACGUAGGUGGCAAGCGUUGUCCGGAAUUAUUGGGCGUAAAGCGCGCGCAGGCGGCUUCUUAAGUCUGAUGUGAAAUCUCGGGGCUCAACCCCGAGCGGCCAUUGGAAACUGGGGAGCUUGAGUGCAGAAGAGGAGAGUGGAAUUCCACGUGUAGCGGUGAAAUGCGUAGAGAUGUGGAGGAACACCAGUGGCGAAGGCGACUCUCUGGUCUGUAACUGACGCUGAGGCGCGAAAGCGUGGGGAGCAAACAGGAUUAGAUACCCUGGUAGUCCACGCCGUAAACGAUGAGUGCUAGGUGUUAGGGGUUUCGAUGCCCGUAGUGCCGAAGUUAACACAUUAAGCACUCCGCC